GGGCUCCAGUUGACAGCACAGGUACUAAAAUUGGAAGGAGACAGAAAAUUAGCAUGGCCUCUGCAUGAGGAUGGACACUCAGAGCUCUGGAUGAUGCUUCAAGUCUAA
Molecule: small nuclear RNA, 108 nt
Organism: Gopherus agassizii (Agassiz's desert tortoise)
Lineage: Eukaryota; Metazoa; Chordata; Testudines; Testudinidae
Source: Ensembl